This 253-nucleotide ribosomal RNA is filed under the name uncultured bacterium. Its description in RNAcentral is "partial 16S ribosomal RNA". It matches the Rfam family "Bacterial small subunit ribosomal RNA", at positions 524 to 776 of the family's 1533-position model. The record is from RNAcentral.
UACGUAGGGUGCAAGCGUUGUCCGGAAUUAUUGGGCGUAAAGAGCUCGUAGGCGGCUUGUCACGUCGGAUGUGAAAGCCUGGGGCUUAACCCCGGGUCUGCAUUCGAUACGGGCAGGCCAGAGUGUGGUAGGGGAGAUCGGAAUUCCUGGUGUAGCGGUGAAAUGCGCAGAUAUCAGGAGGAACACCGGUGGCGAAGGCGGAUCUCUGGGCCAUUACUGACGCUGAGGAGCGAAAGUGUGGGGAGCGAACAGG